GAGUUUGAUCCUGGCUCAGGACGAACGCUGGCGGCGCGCUUAACACAUGCAAGUCGAGCGAGAUCCAGGCCUUCGGGCCUGGGGAAAGCGGCGAACGGGUGAGUAACACGUGGGUAAUCAACCCUCGACACUGGGAUAGCCCGGGGAAACCCGGAUUAAUACCGGAUGGCCCUUUGGAUCUUCGGAUCUGACGGGAAAGGUAGCUUCGGCCUCCGGUCGAGGACGAGCCCGCGGCGGAUUAGCUUGUUGGUGAGGUAACGGCUCACCAAGGCGACGAUCCGUAGCUGGUCUGAGAGGACGAUCAGCCACACUGGGACUGAGACACGGCCCAGACUCCUACGGGAGGCAGCAGUGGGGAAUCUUGCGCUAAUGCGGGAAACCGUGACGCAGCGACGCCGCGUGAGGGAAGAAGGCCUUCGGGUUGUAAACCUCUUUCAGGAGGGACGAAGCCACUCGGGUGAAUAGCCCAGAGGGUGACGGUACCUCCAGAAGAAGCCCCGGCUAACUACGUGCCAGCAGCCGCGGUAAUACGUAGGGGGCAAGCGUUGUCCGGAUUUAUUGGGCGUAAAGAGCGUGUAGGCGGCUAGGUAGGUCCGUUGUGAAAACUCGAGGCUCAACCUCGAGACGCCGGUGGAAACCAUCUAGCUAGAGUCCGGAAGAGGAGAGUGGAAUUCCUGGUGUAGCGGUGAAAUGCGCAGACAUCAGGAAGAACACAUCGUGUAGAGCGUGGCUCUCCAGUAUAUGUAAUACUGUGAGAUGCGAAAGCGUGGGGAUCUCACAGUCAGUCAUACACCAGUAGAUCCGCGCUGUAACACGGGUGUUCUAGGUGAUAUGCGGUGUCGUCUCCGUCCCUGCAGAAGCUACAGCAUUAUGCUCCGGACUUGAGGAGUACGGUCUCAAGGGUAGUAUUGAAAGUAAGCGUCGAGUUUUCGCACAAGCAGUGGAUCAUGGCGUUCACUUUGUCUAGACGCGAUGAACCCUGACAGGGCUUGACACGCACGUGAAUGUGGGAGAAAUGCCGCAUACUUACGGGGGUCGUGCUCAGGAGGUGCAGUCCCCUUGUCAGCUAUUCUCGUGAGAGGCUUGGUUAAUUCUGAAAGAGAGCGCAACCCGAAGGCUAUGUUCCCACCGUGAAAGACGGGGACUCAUAGGAGACCGCAUUAGACAAAGGGAGGAAGGUGGGGACGACGUCAAGUCAUCAUGCCCCUUUCAGUCUGCAGUACAAACAUCGUCCAUUCAGACCACAAAGGGAUGCAAACCUGGGAGGGUGAGCGAAUCCCAAACAACCGGUCCCGGUUGGGAUGAAGGCUGAAACUAGCCUUCAGGAAGGCGGAGUUUCUGAUAAGAAGAUAUCAAGGACCAUCCGGUGAUUAUGUUGGCGGGCCCGGUACACACCAGCCGUCACGGCUGGAAAGUUGGCAAUACUCGAACCCUGUGCCCUUUCCCCCAAGGGAGGGAGCCGUAUAAGGUAGGGUUGACGAGUGGUGAGAAGUCGUAACAAGGUAGCCGUAGCGGCAGCAGCGGCUGGAUCACCUCCUUUCU
Molecule: ribosomal RNA, 1542 nt
Filed under: uncultured bacterium
Lineage: Bacteria
Description: bacterial SSU rRNA
Rfam family: Bacterial small subunit ribosomal RNA
Source: RNAcentral